Non-coding RNA from Podarcis lilfordi (Lilford's wall lizard), 79 nucleotides. The record is from the annotation of a GenBank genome assembly. Lineage: Eukaryota; Metazoa; Chordata; Lepidosauria; Squamata; Lacertidae.
GCUGGAUAGCUCAGUUGGCUAGAGUUUGGUGCUGAUAAUGCCAAGGUUGCAGGUUUGAUCCCCGUAAGGGAGAGCUGCA